UACGGAGGGUGCAAGCGUUAUCCGGAUUUAUUGGGUUUAAAGGGUCCGUAGGCGGAUCGUUAAGUCAGCGGUGAAAUCUUCCGGCUCAACCGGGAAACUGCCGUUGAUACUGUCGAUCUUGAGUACAAGUGAAGUUGGCGGAAUGUGUGGUGUAGCGGUGAAAUGCUUAGAUAUCACACAGAACACCUAUUGCGAAGGCAGCUGACUAACUCGUAACUGACGCUGAGGGACGAAAGUGUGGGGAUCAAACAGGAUUAGAUACCCUGGUAGUCCACACCGUAAACGAUGAUCACUAGAUUUUGGCCGCAAGGUCAGAGUCCAAGCGAAAGUGUUUAGUGAUCCACCUGGGGAGUACGUCCGCAAGGAUGAA
This 370-nucleotide ribosomal RNA is filed under the name uncultured bacterium. RNAcentral's name for it is "bacterial SSU rRNA". It matches the Rfam family "Bacterial small subunit ribosomal RNA", at positions 524 to 898 of the family's 1533-position model. The record is from RNAcentral.